Capsaspora owczarzaki ATCC 30864 is the source of this 72-nucleotide transfer RNA. It matches the Rfam family "tRNA". Rfam says of the family: Transfer RNA (tRNA) molecules are approximately 80 nucleotides in length. Their secondary structure includes four short double-helical elements and three loops (D, anti-codon, and T loops). Further hydrogen bonds mediate the characteristic L-shaped molecular structure. tRNAs have two regions of fundamental functional importance: the anti-codon, which is responsible for specific mRNA codon recognition, and the 3' end, to which the tRNAs corresponding amino acid is attached (by aminoacyl-tRNA synthetases). tRNAs cope with the degeneracy of the genetic code in two manners: having more than one tRNA (with a specific anti-codon) for a particular amino acid; and 'wobble' base-pairing, i.e. permitting non-standard base-pairing at the 3rd anti-codon position. Lineage: Eukaryota; Filasterea; Ministeriida; Capsasporidae. The record is from Rfam.
GGGCAAAUGACGCAGUGGCAGCGUGCUUCCUUUGCAAGGAAGAUGUCGGGGGUUCGAUCCCCCCUUUGUCCA